RNAcentral lists this ribosomal RNA (253 nucleotides) under uncultured bacterium. RNAcentral's name for it is "partial 16S ribosomal RNA". It matches the Rfam family "Bacterial small subunit ribosomal RNA", at positions 524 to 776 of the family's 1533-position model. The record is from RNAcentral.
UACGUAGGGGGCUAGCGUUGUCCGGAAUCAUUGGGCGUAAAGCGCGUGUAGGCGGUCCGGUAAGUCCGCUGUGAAAGUCGAGGGCUCAACCCUCGAAUGCCGGUGGAUACUGUCGGGCUAGAGUGCGGAAGAGGCGAGUGGAAUUCCUGGUGUAGCGGUGGAAUGCGCAGAUAUCAGGAGGAACACCGAUGGCGAAGGCAGAUCUCUGGGCCGUAACUGACGCUGAGGAGCGAAAGCGUGGGGAGCGAACAGG